Molecule: long non-coding RNA, 1794 nt
Organism: Toxorhynchites rutilus septentrionalis
Lineage: Eukaryota; Metazoa; Arthropoda; Insecta; Diptera; Culicidae
Exons: 3
Source: RefSeq, a predicted model, not a curated record
UUGUCAUUUGUUUGUUGUUUUCUCCAUUCUUCCUCGGGCGCCAUUCUGAUAAGAAAAAUAAUAGUGGUUAACAGAGCUGAAAUUAAAAAGAAAUUGAUUAUUAAACAUACUUACCUUACUUGCUAAAUACUUACCUAGUGCUAACUUUCUAGUUAUUUAGUGCUAAAAGUAGUUUUUCGAAGUGCUAUAUCUAUACAAGAUAAUUAUUCUCAAAGAUAACCUCAAGAUUACGGAAAGACUUGAAAGGACAUUGAAAGGACAAAAGAGGAAAUUGGAAUAUUAAACGAAUUUUUUAAUCCUGUUUAUGAAUAAACAGUUUGUUUACCCGGAAACUUUCCGUUUUCCUCAUUGUCUCAUUGGCCUAUUGCCAAUAUCUAGAUUGUUGAUCUUCAUUUCAAGACGGAUCUAUGGUACAAGGUGCGGUCUUUUGAUCACUAAAUUGAAUAGGGGAGCAGCAUAUGAAAACAGUACGAAAGAAAGCGAUUACCUGAACUAUGAAACAGAUAGAUUUAACAGAAACCUUCGAAAUUAUGAAAUUUCUCAAUAAGUUCAGUGGUAUUUAGCUGCAACUAGUAUAUCUAUUUUUCUUUGAAAACACAACACAAUAAUGUUUCAAGAUGACUGUAGAGUGAUUAUGUCGUAUUGACCAACCUGUUAGAAUACUUCAAACCCAGCAAACAUUAAAUCGUAUUCAAGACACAUUUGGAUGAUAUGUGAUACUUAUAACUAGCAUAUAUAAGCAAAAAUGGAGGCGAUAUAUGAAUUUGCCAUAUUUUAUACGCUUAUAAAGCCGUAUAUAACGAUAUGCGAAGCUUCUUUCACUUAUAUGCGAUUUUACCCGACAAUACUAUAUAAAAUGAAUAGAAUGUACGUAUAUAAUACUGCAUAUCGCGAUACUAGGUUGAUCGUUAUACCGAUAUAUGGCAUAAUCCAUCAAUGAUAUAGAAAAUCGUGUUUUUGCAUUUUAUACAAUUUCAGAUACACAUGAUGCAUCCUUUGAUUGAUAUUUCACACGAUUGUUAUUUGAUACGAAUUAAUAAUAAUAAUAACAAUAAUAAUUUAAUAAAAUAUUUUCCGACAUGUGGUUGUUUGUGUGAGUAUAAGAAAUCGUAUAUUCGUACGACAAUAGUCGUAUAAGAUGCAAAUAUAAAUAGUAUAUUUAUGCAAAGCAUUUGUCAUGUAUGUAUAUCGCCUCCUCUUUUGUAUGUGUAGUUUAGCUAAGUGCAUCAUAUACCACCCAAGAUAAGGGAUACGAUGAUGCAUAUACGCUAGUUUAAUCGUAUGUUUGCUGGAUUUCUAAAGGGUUAUUUCUAAAAUUUCGACGCACGACGAAAUUAUAUAGUGAUAAACAAGCGAACCGAAUAAAAUAAUCGUAAUUCUACGUGAGCAAUGUCUUGGAUACAAACCACUUAGGUUUUUUCGUAUAGAAUUUCGAAUAGAAUCGAUUUUUUGUGUCGUGUUUUCUUUAAAAGCUACAAUUUCGUAAAGUAUGAGGUUGUUUCAAGAGUUCUUCCCCUCAUAGCCAAUUGCCUCGUAAGUUUUUGACACCAUCCGGAAAGCAUAUUCAUCACCACCUAAUGCGUUCCAUGCAUAUAAGAUAAUGAUAAAUGGUUAAAAAAUAUCGCAGAAGCUUAAGGCAGCGACUGAUUAAUUUGGUGUGAGAAUUCUCUAUAUUGAAGGUUCCAUAGUACGCGAAGGUGAUGUUAUAAUGCGGAUUUAAGUAACGGUAAAUCAAAACAACAUAAUUUAAAUUUCGUAUAACUUAGUAACAAAUAGUUUCUUGAGUAAUGUUAG